Molecule: ribosomal RNA, 490 nt
Filed under: uncultured bacterium
Lineage: Bacteria
Description: partial 16S ribosomal RNA
Rfam family: Bacterial small subunit ribosomal RNA
Source: RNAcentral
AUUGAACGCUGGCGGCAGGCCUAACACAUGCAAGUCGAACGGUAACAGGAAACAGCUUGCUGUUUCGCUGACGAGUGGCGGACGGGUGAGUAAUGUCUGGGAAACUGCCUGAUGGAGGGGGAUAACUACUGGAAACGGUAGCUAAUACCGCAUAACGUCGCAAGACCAAAGAGGGGGACCCUCGGGCCUCUUGCCAUCGGAUGUGCCCAGAUGGGAUUAGCUUGUUGGUGGGGUAACGGCUCACCAAGGCGACGAUCCCUAGCUGGUCUGAGAGGAUGACCAGCCACACUGGAACUGAGACACGGUCCAGACUCCUACGGGAGGCAGCAGUGGGGAAUAUUGCACAAUGGGCGAAAGCCUGAUGCAGCCAUGCCGCGUGUAUGAAGAAGGCCUUCGGGUUGUAAAGUACUUUCAGCGGGGAGGAAGGGAGUAAAGUUAAUACCCUUGCUCAUUGACGUUACCCGCAGAAGAAGCACCGGCUAACUCCGUG